This is a non-coding RNA of Oryzias latipes (Japanese medaka), 917 nucleotides long. The record is from RefSeq and is a predicted model, not a curated record. NCBI's taxonomy places the organism in Eukaryota, Metazoa, Chordata, Actinopteri, Beloniformes, Adrianichthyidae.
GGCAGAUGAAGAUGUGUGUGUUGUUGUUCGAGUAAACAUGUACAGACACGGGGGUGGGGGGUGAAAACUGCCUUGGUCUCCCUAAGACCUGUUUUAGUCCAAACCCACCGACUCCUCUGCUGCUGUUCCUCUUCACGAGUCAGCAUGUCAGCUCUGAGCUGCUCUCUCUGAGUGAAUCCAGCAUGACCUUUGACCUGGAGGUGAAGAUGGAGGCGGGGCUUAAGUGGUCAGCGAUGUCACAGACACAUUAUGCAUUUGAGGACCUGUGUGGAAGUUAUGUGCCCAAACCUCCCUUGCAUCUUCCACGGUGUCUGUGCCACUAUCAGCUGAAGCCUAAACAUCACGGUUGGACUCAUUCCAACGCGCCUGAUGAAACUCACCACUUCAAGAUCAGGCCUGCCUUGAUUCUGCUCGUCUUCGGUUCCUGCUCAGAUGAAGAGUUCGUCUGAUUCAGGCUCAGUUCAUAUCAAUGAAACAUGACUGCCUCUCACCUGAUGAUAGCUGGGAUAGGCUCUGCCCCUACAGGUGAUCGAGGAAACUGCAGAAAAUUAUUCCAAGGUGCUUUUUCUUAGGAAGCUGUUCACCACCCAGAACCAACCUUGCCGUUGACCCAUCUCGAAUCAGGACUGGAACCGUCCUGCUGCAGCGUCACUCUGGACCCAGAAAAAACAUGAUGCUACCUCUGCCAUGCUUCAGAGUAAAUGACCUUCAUGGGGAACCAGAACUUCACCUGUUUCCGGAAUAUCUUUAGAUCUGUAAAGUAAUGGCUCUGUUAGAAACCUAAUUAUUAGUGAGUGUUCUCUUUGUGCACAACUCCCACCUGAAUAUUCUACACAAAUGCCACAAGAAAAUGUUUUUAUUGGCAUUUUUUAAGACAUUAAAAAAUCUCAAACGUCCAACACAGUUGGGAAAAUAGA